Molecule: non-coding RNA, 72 nt
Organism: Podarcis lilfordi (Lilford's wall lizard)
Lineage: Eukaryota; Metazoa; Chordata; Lepidosauria; Squamata; Lacertidae
Source: the annotation of a GenBank genome assembly
GCUGUGGCUUGAUGGCAUAGCCCAUCACUCUCUGCAUGUAGAAGGCCCCAGGUUCAAACCUUGGCAUCUCCA